Molecule: non-coding RNA, 386 nt
Organism: Cryobacterium sp. LW097
Lineage: Bacteria; Bacillati; Actinomycetota; Actinomycetes; Micrococcales; Microbacteriaceae
Source: Rfam
GGGGAUGAUCGGUUUCGACAUUGCCUGCGUAACUGUGAGAAGCGGGUCGAGGAUGCAGGGUUAUCUCGUAAACGAUCUCUGCAAAACAAUAAGUGCCAAUUCAAACCGCACUGUCUCGCGUUCCGCUUUCGCCCUCGCGGCCUAAGUAGAACCACAUUGAGACCGUCAGACCGGGAAUGCUCUCUACUCGGAUCCUGACGUCAUUUAGAGAGAUUGCUCCUAUCCUGAGCCUCGGGGUAUAGGGGGACUCAAACGAGGGCUGGGCUCGUCGGAUCAGCUGCCAGUGGCAAGUUCCGGAGCCGAGUAGAACGCCUUCACUGGAUACACCCGUAGAAGAAACAUGACCACAGCAAUGGACCGGGGUUCAAUUCCCCGCAUCUCCACCA